This 253-nucleotide ribosomal RNA is filed under the name uncultured bacterium. Its description in RNAcentral is "partial 16S ribosomal RNA". It matches the Rfam family "Bacterial small subunit ribosomal RNA", at positions 524 to 776 of the family's 1533-position model. The record is from RNAcentral.
UACGUAGGGUGCAGGCGUUAAUCGGAAUUACUGGGCGUAAAGCGUGCGCAGGCGGUCUUUUGAGUCAGAUGUGAAAUCCCCGGGCUUAACCUGGGAACUGCGUUUGAAACUGAAAGGCUAGAGUGUGGCAGAGGGGGGUGGAAUUCCAGGUGUAGCGGUGAAAUGCGUAGAUAUCUGGAGGAACAUCGGUGGCGAAGGCGGCAUCCUGGACCGGUAUUGACGCUGAGGCGCGAAAGCCAGGGGAGCAAACGGG